RNAcentral lists this ribosomal RNA (139 nucleotides) under Cladosporium cladosporioides. RNAcentral describes it as "partial 18S ribosomal RNA". It matches the Rfam family "Eukaryotic small subunit ribosomal RNA", at positions 1694 to 1830 of the family's 1831-position model. RNAcentral also lists the same sequence under 15 other names. The record is from RNAcentral. Lineage: Eukaryota; Fungi; Ascomycota; Dothideomycetes; Cladosporiales; Cladosporiaceae.
UGGCUCGGUGAGGCCUUCGGACUGGCCCAGGGAGGUCGGCAACGACCACCCAGGGCCGGAAAGUUGGUCAAACCCGGUCAUUUAGAGGAAGUAAAAGUCGUAACAAGGUCUCCGUAGGUGAACCUGCGGAGGGAUCAUU